Molecule: ribosomal RNA, 320 nt
Filed under: uncultured bacterium
Lineage: Bacteria
Description: bacterial SSU rRNA
Rfam family: Bacterial small subunit ribosomal RNA
Source: RNAcentral
UGACGGUACCUGACUAAGAAGCCCCGGCUAACUACGUGCCAGCAGCCGCGGUAAUACGUAGGGGGCAAGCGUUAUCCGGAUUUACUGGGUGUAAAGGGAGCGCAGACGGCAAAGCAAGUCUGAAGUGAAAGCCCGGGGCUCAACCCCGGGACUGCUUUGGAAACUGUUUAGCUAGAGUACUGGAGAGGUAAGCGGAAUUCCUAGUGUAGCGGUGAAAUGCGUAGAUAUUAGGAAGAACACCAGUGGCGAAGGCGGCUUACUGGACAGCAACUGACGUUGAGGCUCGAAAGCGUGGGGAGCAAACAGGAUUAGAUACCCUG